UAUCUGGAAGAGUUUGAAAAUCUGAUCGAUGAGCUGCUGUUCAGAAUUAAUUCAUUUCUCCUCCAACUGCCUUCACCGCUCCUUCCCUGCCAACCCCUCCUCCCCCCCCCACAUUUACAAAGAGAAGGGGGGAUGAAGAGCCUCACUCUGAUUAUUCCUACAGCCAGGCAUCGGAGGAUCUGUCACUUGAUGAAGAUCACAGAAUACGGAAAGCUGCUAAGGUUGACAGGAACUGUUCAGAAAUCUCUCAGAAAUACCUGAUCUGUUUCAAGGAGGGCAAGAUUCUCUACUGAACAAAGACUACAGAACUAUGAAACUGCUGAGGUUUCUGAGGAAUACAGUUCAACCAGUAAUGGUUGCCCAUCAGACCAUAACCAUGAAGCAUCCCACUUCAGUGAGAGAGGAUUUCAAGUGGAGCUUUUCUGUAGAGCAACUCAAGCAAAAGUGUCAGUGACCUCCAUGUCAGAUGACAUUACAGUGUCACAACAGUAUUCAUGGAACCAAGGAGACGUGAAUCCAGAUUGCUAUCACCUGACAAAAAUGGGAGACGCUUUGCCUCCUGCAUUAUCUGGGACUCGAUAUCCAAAAAAAGCAAUCUUCAUGGGUCUGGCGCAUGGAGAGUGGAAUGAGCAGCCAGCCACCUUAUGCACCAGCUAGUGCAUCUGCUAAAAGUUGCAAGCUGCUCAGACAUUCCUAAACCACAGUCAUUGAGCCUUUGGAGACCACUAAUGCAGUGCUGUGCACUAAAGCUGACCUCUAACUCUGUGCUUGAGAGCCUGAAAACUGCUAAGGGACCAGCAUCUCAGCAAGUCAAAAGUGUAAAUCAAGUGUCAAAUUCUACACGUUGAGAAAAGGUCAAGAGAAAGCGAAGGGAAGGUAAGUGUGUUGGAGGAGAAACCAGUGAAAAUGGAGGGAAAAGAAAAGAAAAGAAAAAAAUGGCCCAGAAAUUUCCAUGCUGCCCAAUGGAGAAAGUGUGCCACAUCAGUCAAAGUCAUUGAGAACAAUGGGAGUAGCUGGGUGCUCUGAUAUUUUGUUGUUGACCCCUAUCAUAUAGUCAUGAUAAAUAAAAAUAAAUAAAUGUUCAUAGCUGGUGAAUGGUGCUGAAUUUA
Trachemys scripta elegans is the source of this 1109-nucleotide long non-coding RNA. RefSeq lists it as uncharacterized. Lineage: Eukaryota; Metazoa; Chordata; Testudines; Emydidae. The record is from RefSeq and is a predicted model, not a curated record. The transcript is spliced from 3 exons.